CCGGGAAGGACAUGUCCUUCACACACACGCGUCUCUAGCAGGAAGGAACCGGUGCACGGUGGCUAUAGAGAGCACUAACGGGAUUUAAGAAGUCACCUCGCGGGCACGCUAGGAAAGAUUGGAAGAAAAGACCAUGGGCCAGUGAGAGGGCGCCUGUGCCACGCCUGAGUGUGCUACCUGGAAGCCACACACUGGGAAGACAGAACAGACUCCUGCAAGUUGUCCUCUAGCCACACAAAUACCACACCACCCACCCCCUCCCGCCACAAGUACACGCACUUAAAAGAACCUCUUUAUCAAGCAAAGCAGGGCUGCUUCAUAAAUUGCUGUCAACAAAACCACUGUAUCUGUAAAUUUAAUAUGCAAUAAAUUCUGACAUUAUGAAAUGAU
Myodes glareolus (Bank vole) is the source of this 390-nucleotide long non-coding RNA. RefSeq lists it as uncharacterized. Lineage: Eukaryota; Metazoa; Chordata; Mammalia; Rodentia; Cricetidae. The record is from RefSeq and is a predicted model, not a curated record.